AGCUUUGUGCAGUGGCAAUAUCAAAGCCAAUGAGGUUUAUCCAAGGCGUGAUUAUUGCCAAUUAAUCUUUUCAUCCGGGCACAUUUAAAAAAUUUUUUUUAUGUUUAUUAAAUAAAUUAAAAAGCCAUUAAAUAUUG
This is a small nuclear RNA of Thamnophis elegans (Western terrestrial garter snake), 137 nucleotides long. RefSeq annotates it as U4 spliceosomal RNA. The record is from RefSeq and is a predicted model, not a curated record. The transcript has a single exon. Lineage: Eukaryota; Metazoa; Chordata; Lepidosauria; Squamata; Natricidae.